ACCCCAAAAACAACUCAAACAACAUACAAAGGCACAAAGGGUCCCUAAACCCUCACAUGCACAACUCAUGCAAAAACUCAUGCAUAACUCCCUUCUCCCUCCAUAAAACUUGCUUAAAACAUCAUAAAACAUAAGGAUCAACACAUACCUCGUGAAGAACAAAGGCUGGUGUGAUCCCAAACUUGAAGAUAUGGAGAUCCAAGCUCCAAAAGUCUCCAAGCUCCACCUCCUUGUUCCAAGCUCACAACUCUUGAAUUCAAGGAGAAAACUCAUGAAAACCUUGAAAGAUUUGAAGAGAAACCAUGAAAUCAACCCAAGGAAAGCAUGAACUCACCUUAGCCCAAAAGAGAGAGAAACCUCCUCUUUUUCCAGAGCAAGGAGCCCUUUAUAGGUGGUCAACCGCCCCUCCUUC
This 412-nucleotide long non-coding RNA is filed under the name Manihot esculenta (cassava). Its description in RNAcentral is "long non-coding RNA (MESC_LNC000627)". Lineage: Eukaryota; Viridiplantae; Streptophyta; Magnoliopsida; Malpighiales; Euphorbiaceae. The record is from RNAcentral.